RNAcentral lists this ribosomal RNA (206 nucleotides) under uncultured bacterium. RNAcentral's name for it is "partial 16S ribosomal RNA". It matches the Rfam family "Bacterial small subunit ribosomal RNA", at positions 524 to 731 of the family's 1533-position model. The record is from RNAcentral.
UACGUAGGGUGCGAGCGUUUAAUCGGAAUUACUGGGCGUAAAGCGUGCGCAGGCGGUUUUGUAAGCCAGAUGUGAAAUCCCCGGGCUUAACCUGGGAAUGGCAUUUGGGACUGCAAGGCUGGAGUGCGGCAGAGGAGACUGGAAUUCCUGGUGUAGCGGUGGAAUGCGUAGAGAUCCGGAGGAAGACCGGUGGCGAAGGCGGCCUG